This is a regulatory RNA element of Pseudomonas sp. FeS53a, 56 nucleotides long. It matches the Rfam family "COG3860 RNA". The record is from Rfam. NCBI's taxonomy places the organism in Bacteria, Pseudomonadati, Pseudomonadota, Gammaproteobacteria, Pseudomonadales, Pseudomonadaceae.
CGGUCGGCAGUUCACCCAGGCGUCACCGGUGCCCAUUCGGGCAGCUAAACCUGCCA